Molecule: ribosomal RNA, 323 nt
Filed under: uncultured archaeon
Lineage: Archaea
Description: bacterial SSU rRNA
Rfam family: Archaeal small subunit ribosomal RNA
Source: RNAcentral
CCCUACGGGGCGCAGCAGGUGCGAAAACUUUACAAUGCGAGAAAUCGUGAUAAGGGAACCCCGAGUGCCCGUAAAUUCGGGCUGUUAAUCUGUGUAAAAAGCAGGUGGAGAAAGGGCCGGGCAAGACCGGUGCCAGCCGCCGCGGUAAUACCGGCGGCUCGAGUGGUGGCCACUAUUACUGGGCUUAAAGCGUCCGUAGCUGGAUUGUUAAGUCUCUUGGGAAAUCUACCGGCUUAACCGAUAGGCGUUCAAGGGAUACUGGCAAUCUAGGGACCGGGAGAGGUGAGAGGUACUCCAGGGGUAGGAGUGAAAUCCUGUAAUCC